UCUUCGGGGUUUUGGUCGUUACUCUGUGGAGAUAUAAGGAAUGUGAUGUCUGGAACUACUGCAGCCACAUUGUGACCAUGAAACCACGGUUGACCACAGAGGAUGGAAACUGCAGAAAGUGAAACUACUGAUAAGGGGGAAAUACUGUACUUCAGAAUGCAUCCCCUCCGGAUAAUAUAUCAGGGCUAGAAGAGAAAAGGCCAGGGCUUUUUGCAGAAGCACCAAGAAUUCAAGAACGUUCUAUAUCCCGCAGUAUGGCAUUGAGAAAUGUGAGUGGAGACAUCAGCACUGUUGAAAAGCUGAAUGGAAAGAAGAUGAAUGUUCUCCACAAAGAAACGGCAGUGGGAGGUGUCAUUGAGAUGGGCUUUCUGAUUUCAGUGGACUAUGGGAUAGAGAGCCAACUUUACUAUAAAGUCAAAGUGGGCACAAAUGUCACAACAGACAACAGGGAAGAAGUGUUAAUCAGAAUGCUUUGACCCACAGGGAUCUUUGGUGAUGGCUAAAUGUUCACAUUGUCCCUAGGAAUAAAAUAAAAAUAAAA
This is a non-coding RNA of Miniopterus natalensis, 541 nucleotides long. The record is from RefSeq and is a predicted model, not a curated record. NCBI's taxonomy places the organism in Eukaryota, Metazoa, Chordata, Mammalia, Chiroptera, Miniopteridae.